Molecule: ribosomal RNA, 460 nt
Filed under: uncultured bacterium
Lineage: Bacteria
Description: partial 16S ribosomal RNA
Rfam family: Bacterial small subunit ribosomal RNA
Source: RNAcentral
CCUACGGGCGGCAGCAGUGAGGAAUAUUGGUCAAUGGACGAGAGUCUGAACCAGCCAAGUAGCGUGAAGGAUGACUGCCCUAUGGGUUGUAAACUUCUUUUAUAUGGGAAUAAAAUGUUCCACGUGUGGGAUUUUGUAUGUACCAUAUGAAUAAGGAUCGGCUAACUCCGUGCCAGCAGCCGCGGUAAUACGGAGGAUCCGAGCGUUAUCCGGAUUUAUUGGGUUUAAAGGGAGCGUAGGUGGAUUGUUAAGUCAGUUGUGAAAGUUUGUGGCUCAACCGUAAAAUUGCAGUUGAAACUGGCAGUCUUGAGUACAGUAGAGGUGGGCGGAAUUCGUGGUGUAGCGGUGAAAUGCUUAGAUAUCACGAAGAACUCCGAUUGCGAAGGCAGUUCACUGGACUGCAACUGACACUGAGGCUCGAAAGUGUGGGUAUCAAACAGGAUUAGAUACCCCAGUAGUC